CGUAGGGUGCAAGCGUUGUCCGGAAUUAUUGGGCGUAAAGAGCUCGUAGGCGGUUUGUUGUGUCGGCUGUGAAAUCCCGAGGCUCAACCUCGGGUCUGCAGUCGAUACGAGCAAACUAGAGUGUUGCAGGGGAGACUGGAAUUCCUGGUGUAGCGGUGAAAUGCGCAGAUAUCAGGAGGAACACCGGUGGCGAAGGCGGGUCUCUGGGCAACAACUGACGCUGAGGAGCGAAAGCGUGGGGAGCGAACAGGAUUAGAUACCCUGGUAGUCCACGCCGUAAACGUUGGGCGCUAGGUGUGGGGCUCAUUCCACGAGUUCCGUGCCGCAGCUAACGCAUUAAGCGCCCCGCCUGGGGAGUACGGCCGCAAGGCUA
This 373-nucleotide ribosomal RNA is filed under the name uncultured organism. Its description in RNAcentral is "bacterial SSU rRNA". It matches the Rfam family "Bacterial small subunit ribosomal RNA", at positions 526 to 896 of the family's 1533-position model. The record is from RNAcentral.